This is a non-coding RNA of Heterocephalus glaber (naked mole-rat), 1203 nucleotides long. NCBI's taxonomy places the organism in Eukaryota, Metazoa, Chordata, Mammalia, Rodentia, Bathyergidae. The record is from RefSeq and is a predicted model, not a curated record.
UAAGUAAGGAAAUACUUUGCAUGUUUUACAAAUGGGCAAACUAAAGCCCUACUAGUAAGUACCCUGUCUGCUAGUAAAAGGGGGAAUUCAAUAUUCAAACUCUGAGCAAUAGGUUGGUAAAUCUUAUAUUCUAUCUCUUGCUACUCCACAGAGUUGUUAUUUGUGAUCCAGGACUCAGGAUGGGAGCAGGGUACAGCUGGAGAGGUUUGAAGAAGUGUGUCAAAGAGAAGCAAAGAAAAAUCAAGAACUCUUCCCAAGAGACACAAGAUCUGAGUCUGAGGAGAAGCAGGAAGCUAGCCCCAAAACCAGAGCAUGAACCCAGCAAGUCAGGCUCAAAAGAAGCCAAGACUGAAACCUGAAUAAGACGUGCAGAAAUGACUCAUCACUGCAGUCAAAACUUUCUUCUGGGGAUUUAACCUACUUUUCUAUUUCAAAACUUGUGGAGAUGGAACCCAGUGCUUCUUCACCCCUGUCUUGUCUCCAAGAAAUAACCCGGUGGCACUUUAGUAAUAUAUUACUAUACUACGAAGUCGUCUCCAAGACUGUUUGCAAAAGCUGACUGUGCAUAUAAUGAACCAGAACUUGAUCAUUGAAAUGGAAAUCAUCACACCUGCUUCCCAGGAUGCUUGGGAGGACUGGAAGAGAGGCAGCACUUACAAGCUUUAUAGAACUCCAGCAUGCCAUGCAAGCAGGUGUACCAAAGUUGUGGAGAGUGGUCUCCACUCUUAAAUUAUCAUUCCUACUAAAUUAGCUUGUAAUUUAAAAUAUGCAAGAACAAGUAAGAGACAUUUUAAAAAGAGUCUUGUACUGAAAUUGCUAUUGUUUGAAAAUACCCAUCUUCCUCAGAGGGAUGAGCACAAUCUUUCACUUAAGAAAAUAAGUCAUAAAUUUCUUUAUGAAUCCAUUUAAACAGCUCAGAGUAAGAAUGAAAAGCAACUGGCCAGCAAAGUGAGGCCCUUGAUCGACGCAAGCAAUAACAAGACGAGGGGCAGUUAAGCCAAUGGAAUCAGGAUGAUAUUAAAAGCAAUUUCCAUGCUAGGCAUGGUAGCACACACCUGUAAUUCCAGCACUCUGGGAGGCUGAGGCAGGAGGCUGGAAAGCUCAAGCCCAACCUGGGCAACUUAGUGACUUAGUGAGACCCUGUCUCAAAAUUUACAAAGGGAGAGGGGCUGGCUAUCUAGCUCACUGGUAGAGCAUCUCUGG